UAAUACGUUAGCGGCGGACGGGUGAGUAACGCGUGAGCAAACUGCCUCUGUCAUCGGGAUAACACUUAGAAAUAGGUGCUAAUACCGAAUAAGACCACGAUUCGGCAUCGAAUUGGGGUAAAAAGGUUACUGGACAGAGAUGAGCUCGCGUCCCAUUAGGUAGUUGGUGAGGUAACGGCCCACCAAGCCGACGAUGGGUAGCCGACCUGAGAGGGUAAACGGCCACAUUGGAACUGAGAAACGGUCCAAACUCCUACGGAAGGCAGCAG
RNAcentral lists this ribosomal RNA (269 nucleotides) under uncultured bacterium. RNAcentral describes it as "partial 16S ribosomal RNA". It matches the Rfam family "Bacterial small subunit ribosomal RNA", at positions 85 to 354 of the family's 1533-position model. The record is from RNAcentral.